UUUAUGGAAGGCUAGUGGUUGGGCCACAGCGCUCUCACCACUGCGGCCUGGGCUCGAUUCCCGGCCAGGGAG
This 72-nucleotide transfer RNA is filed under the name Pangasianodon hypophthalmus (striped catfish). RNAcentral describes it as "tRNA-Glu". It matches the Rfam family "tRNA". Rfam says of the family: Transfer RNA (tRNA) molecules are approximately 80 nucleotides in length. Lineage: Eukaryota; Metazoa; Chordata; Actinopteri; Siluriformes; Pangasiidae. The record is from RNAcentral.